RNAcentral lists this long non-coding RNA (3973 nucleotides) under Homo sapiens (human). Its description in RNAcentral is "HSALNT0152345". The record is from RNAcentral. Lineage: Eukaryota; Metazoa; Chordata; Mammalia; Primates; Hominidae.
CCUUUUUUCAAUCCUCCCUGCAAUUGGCUACUUUUAGGAUCCUGCUGAUUGGUGUGUUUUACAGAGUGCUGAUUGGUGCGUUUUACAGAGCGCUGAUUGGUGCAUUUUAUAAUCCUCUUGCUAACUACAGAGCACUGAUUGGUGUGUUUUACAAUCCUCUUGUAAGACAGAAAAGUUCUCCAAGUCCCCACUCGACCCAGGAAGUCCAGCUGGCUUCGCCUCUCACUGGAAUUACAGUUACAGAGGCUGAGAAGUCCAAGAUCAAGGGACCACAUCCAGUGAGAGCCUUCUUGCUGGUGGGACUGAUAUGGUUUGACUGUUUUGUCCCCUAUACAUCUCGUUUCAUGUGACCUCUGAUGUUGGAGGUGGGCCUAGUAGGAGGUGUUUGGGUCAUAGGGGUGCAUCCCUCAUAAAUGGCUUGGUGUGUCCUCACAGUAAUGAGUGAAUUUCAAUCUGUGAGUUCACGUGAGAUCUGGUUGUUCAAGAGCCUGGCAGCUCCUCCCUCUCUCUCUUGCUCCUUCCCUUGCCAUGCCACACGCUGGCUCCCCCUUCAGCUUCUGCCACGAUUGUAAGCUUCUUGAGGCCUCACAGGAGCAGCUGUUGGUGCCAUGCUUCAUGUACAUCCUGCAGAACCAUGAACCAAAUAAAUCUUUUUUCUUUAUAAAUUACCCACCUUCAAGUAUUCCUUCAUAGCAACCCCAAAAUGGACUAACAGAGGGACUUUCUGUAGAGUUCCAAGGCAACAUGGGGUAUCACAUGGGGAGGAGAAUGAGCAUGCUAACAUGCUUGCACAGGUCUUUUUUCCUCUUCUUAUACAGUCACCAGUUCCCCUCCCAAAAUAACCCAUUAAUCCAUUUACCCACUAAUCCAUUAAUCUAUGAAUGGAUUAAUCCAUUCAUGAGGACAAAGCCCUCAUAAUCCAAUCACCUCUUAAAGGCCCCACCUCUUAAUAUUGCUACAUUGAGGACUAUAUUUCAACACAAGUUUUGAAGGAGACAAAUAUUCAAACCACAGCAAAUACAUUCUCCAAACCAUACACAGAUCUAUCAGCAAAGAGUGGGGACCUAACUGGCUUGAGAUGUUUGAACCAAACCUCUGACUAAUCUUUGGCUGACAAAAUAUGCUGAAACAAGAGUAAUUCUAGAAAGCCUCUCUUUAAAAAAUGUGAGUGCAGACAUUAGCAGCCUCACAUUGUAGUGGAGACAAAUUCCACAGAAUUAGUCCAGACAAGUGUAUCAUACAAACAGCAACCCCCUUUGGGGCAAAUCACAAUGUAGCAUUCCUAUAACAUAAUGUGUACAAUGCCAGUUUUUUUUUGUUUUUUUUUUUGAGACAGAGUCUCACUCUGUUGCCAGGCUGGAGUGCAGUGGUGCAAUCUCGGCUCACUGCAACCUCCGCCUCCUGGAUUCAAGCAAUUCUCCUGCCUCAGUCUCCUGAGUAGCUGGGAGUACAGGCGUGCUGGCGCCCGGCUAAUUUUUGUAUUUUUAGUAGAGAUAGGGUUUCACCAUGUUGGCCAGGAUGGUCUCUAUCUCUUGACCUCAUGAUCCGCCCGCCUCAGCCUCCCAAAGUGCUGGGAUUAUAGGCAUGAGCCACUGCACCUGGCCAGCAGUGUGUUCUUUACUUAGGAAACAAGUCAACAGAAAUCAUCUUUGAGUAAUCCCAAACAAUAGAUUUAGCAAAGACUAUUUUAAAUAUAUUUCAAAGAAAAGAGAUCACAUUUAAAUAAAGUAAUAAAUGAUUACAAGUAGGGUUUAUUACAGGCAUGCAUGGCUGUUUCAAUAUUUGAAAAUCAAUCAAUCUAAACUACCAUGUGGAUAGGCUAAGAAAAAUCACAUUUUGUUUUGUUUUUCUUCCCAAGAUGGUGGAUUGGAAACAGUGUCAGCAUGACUCUCCCACUUGGAAAGACAAAAUGGGCUUAAUUAUUAGAUAAGGAUACGUUUCCAACUGAAGGUGGCAACGUUAUGCUGGAAGAACAUGUCAGGAAGACCACAAAAUUUCAUGACUGUACUUGCUACACUUUCAGCAGAAGAGUUAUACAUAUUUUCAAUUCAACAAAGAUUAAGCCAAAAAGAAUUCUUAGAACAUUCCCACUCUUCUUUGGCACAUCAAAAGGCAACAAAUGUCAUUUUCUCCCAUGUUUUUAUGUGCAGUUUAGAACAAAGACCAAUUAUCUAUGCAGCUGUCCACAGUGGAUAAAACAAAAAGCAUACAUUUGGUCCAGAGUUAAGUCACCUGGGUUGGGCCCAUCCAAGGAAGUUUGAUGUUUCUACUCUCAUGAAAAGUACCAAUGGCACUGCACAGUGAUUAUCUUAGAUAUUAAGGAUAAACACAAAUUUCUCCUUAAAUUUCCAUUUAUUGGAAAUGAUUGGAGGGAGGGAACUUCUCCCUCACCUCCACACUGCCUCUUUUCCAACUCUUCUUCCAACACAAAAUAGUUUAAACAGCAAGCACUUAGAGAGCUUUUAGCCUUGCUUGUUGAUUACAAGGCCCAAGUUAGUGUAUGGUUUGCCCAUCGGAGGAAAGCUAAAACAUGGGCCUUCAUGGGUAUUAAAAUUGAAGAAACCUUUUCCAGCAUUUUUUCUAUUUUCUUUAAAGUAACAACCUAUGGACUUCCCCAUCUGACAUUUUCGAGUGAUCCCACUGUGUGAAUGAAGGACUACUUCAGGGUUUGAGGGCAAAGCUGAAAUCUUAGCAACUUACCAGUGAGCAAAGGUAGAACCCAGAGCCCAUCUCUCCUUUUCCAGGCUGCUGAGUAAAGUCUGGCUCAAUCAACCUAUCAAUGAAGCAGUGCUUACAACAUUCUCCAAGACCACCCAAAACCCAAACUGGAAAUGAAUCAUGACUAAUCUGACUCAUUUUGGCUCACACAGUGCCCUUCCAAUUUGUAUUUACCUUUACCACCCAGGACCUGACCUUGGACAUGUGUACCAGGAUGUAAGGCAAUAAACCUAUUCACAAUUCCAAAAGGGCCUGGUCCUCUAUGAAGAUUUCCUGAAGGCUACUUACUUUCUCUACUCAUUAAAAUUUUUGCUUAACUUCAAAUUUCUGAAAUAUACCAUAUGUGAAAAAUUUAAAUGUUAAUCUGUGCCUACUGUACUACUUGAACAGAGAAAAUUAACUGAUAAACUGUAAAUACAAAAUGUCAAAAUUAAUUCUUCUGAGUUUUAAUAUCAUCUAAAUAAAAAGAAAAUAAUGCAGCAAGUCUACUCCUCAGGGAAGGCAAUAGAUUGUAUAGUUAUCUCCUGAACAGGGUAAAAUCACUACCCCACAACUAUACAAUCUACUACCUCACUCUGAUAGAGCAAUGUUUUCUUCUGGAAUGGAAAGUACAAUCUCUUUCGAAAGAAAAUUUCAACAUAAAAUUAUCAGCAUAAAUCAAAAUAAAAAAAUACAUUUAUUCUGACACAGAGAAAUAAGACAAGAAGCAAAAGGUUUCCCCACCCCCAUCCAGUGUACUUGCUACAGACUUUAUCUCUAAAUUAAUUUAUUUCCAGGCCAUAAACAAAUGCUGCACUACAUCUCUUUAAGACAAGUUAAUCUUAAAUAUUGUACAAUUAGUUAACUGACUUUCUAUCAGACCGCCUGGAUGCAGACUUUUCUAUCACGUUAGGAAAGACAGUAGAUUGUAUAGUUAUCUCCCAGUGGUGGGUGUGACCCUAAAACUAUACAACCUACUACCUCAUCCCACAGUGAAGAGAACAUCCAGGGUGAAUGGUGAAAAGGAAUCACAGUUGAGCACCACAGGAAGGCUUUUUUUCCUCCUCGGUAAUCCUGGUUUCCUGUGUGAGUGAUAAGAAAAAUAGUAUUAGACCAUUUUCAUUCACUUACGUUGAAAAUGAAGUUUAACUGAACAUUUUGGCUACAUGCAUAAUCUAUGCUGUGGUUUCAUUUCCUGUAUUUCAUUAAUAGUAUUUUAAAUGCUUGGUUAUCUGAAUCCGCUCCUAAAACCAUGUAUUUACAAGAUUCAGAAAUC